UAAGAGUUCUAUAACUCCCAAACCCAUGUGAACAUACCUUACGUUGCCUCGGCAGGUCGCGCCUACCUAGUAGCACCCUACCCUGUAGGGCCUACCCGGGAGACGCGGGUAAGCCUGCCGGCGGCCCACGAAACUCUGUUUAAUAUUGAAUUCUGAACAUAUAACUAAAUAAGUUAAAACUUUCAACAACGGAUCUCUUGGUUCUGGCAUCGAUGAAGAACGCAGCGAAAUGCGAUAAGUAAUGUGAAUUGCAGAAUUCAGUGAAUCAUCGAAUCUUUGAACGCACAUUGCGCCCAUUAGUAUUCUAGUGGGCAUGCCUGUUCGAGCGUCAUUUCAACCCUCAAGCCUCUGUUGCUUAGUGUUGGGAGCCUACAGCACCUGUAGCUCCCCAAAGUUAGUGGCGGAGUCGGUUCACACUCUAGACGUAGUAAUUUUAUCUCGCCUAUUAGUUGGACUGGUCUCCCGCCGUAAAACCCCUAUAUUUUAAAGGUGA
Molecule: ribosomal RNA, 493 nt
Filed under: fungal endophyte
Lineage: Eukaryota; Fungi
Description: eukaryotic LSU rRNA
Rfam family: 5.8S ribosomal RNA (bases 178-331)
Source: RNAcentral